Oryctolagus cuniculus (rabbit) is the source of this 358-nucleotide non-coding RNA. The record is from RefSeq and is a predicted model, not a curated record. Lineage: Eukaryota; Metazoa; Chordata; Mammalia; Lagomorpha; Leporidae.
UCAGGCCCCCACGCUUCAUGGGACUUCCUGCUCAGUGAACAACAAUCCGUGUACAGGGGGAGUGACACAGACACUCCACAGGGAGAGGGCAGGGAAGCCCCGUGCCUGCCACCCUCCCAGACCUUGCUGUGAGUCUCGUCAUCUAGGUUGGCCAAGAAAUAAAAUAAGCAGACUAAAAGAUUUACAUGAGCAAAAAAUAAUCAAUAGAUAAACCCAUCAAUGUAGAUAUAAAAGAAAAAAUGGAUAUUGUUGAAAAUAACUUCAGCAAGAAGAAGACAAAAGGAAAAAAUGAGUACUGUUAGAUGCAUAGAAAUAAUAUAUAUUUAAUUUUUAAUAAAUUCUGUUUAUUUUGAAGAUA